AAUCAAUUUUAAUCAUUUUUUAAAUGUUGCAUUUAAAAAAUGAUAAAAGAUCUUUGAAACUAAUUAUGCAAUAUCUUUCUACUAAGAAACACUAUGGCAUUUCAUCCAUUAUGAUGAUCAUUUAAUAUCUCAAACUAAUUCAAUAUUGAUAUCAAUAUUUUUUCAACAACAA
Dermatophagoides pteronyssinus (European house dust mite) is the source of this 172-nucleotide long non-coding RNA. NCBI's taxonomy places the organism in Eukaryota, Metazoa, Arthropoda, Arachnida, Sarcoptiformes, Pyroglyphidae. The record is from RefSeq and is a predicted model, not a curated record.